Long non-coding RNA from Lolium rigidum, 2048 nucleotides. RefSeq lists it as uncharacterized. The record is from RefSeq and is a predicted model, not a curated record. The transcript has 6 exons. Lineage: Eukaryota; Viridiplantae; Streptophyta; Magnoliopsida; Poales; Poaceae.
AUUCCCACCAGAUCUCGUACAAGGGGACGAUGGGCAACACCACAUGGACAUGCCCGCGACACCAGACUCUCCGCAGCGCCGAGUGUCCGCUUUCAUUGACAUCCAAGUCUCUUACCUGCUGCUGCAUCAGCCUACCCUAACGCAAGGGAGGAAUAGUAACUGAAUACUUACCAGCAACAGCAGCUAACAUCAUCAUCAACAAGUGCAGCCUGGAGGAGGCGCCGCCCCCUGUGCCUGUGGAUCUGCAAUCCAGCACUGCAUCGAGGAUGUGAACUACAGCAUGCGGGUGACCGAUGAGGAGUGCUGCCCUGCAAUUGCAGUGUACAUCUGCCACCGUCAAAAGGGAUAACCCGAUUCUGUUGGAAGGCCCAGCAUCGCUGCUUUCACAAGGCGUAGCUGUAUGCCACCGGUCACACGGCCUUGGAGACAUGCGAGAAGUUGGUGGGCCUGCACGCUGGUUGUGUGCCGUAGUCGGUGCCGCAACACUUUGCUCUCGCUGACUGGCCUCGUCUUCAAGGAAGACAGACUGGGAUGAAUCUUGGCUAGUGGCAGUAGUGGCCUUCUUUUCCUCUGCAUUGUUUACUCUCCUGUGCGUGCAAUGUGAUACCAUGGCUUUUGAGCCCAAGAUCUGGCACUGGUCUUUGAGAGAAUGUAAGUACUCAUUAAUAUGAAGUGCUGGCUGUUGGGUGCCCUUGGUAGUUAUUAUCUUCUGAAACCUGGUACAGUUGUCUCAGUACUUGAUGCAUGCCAGGUUUCUUCUUAUGGCUAAUUUGGCUUUACCAGACAUGAUUCAGCUCAUAAUAUAAUCCACAGUUUUACUAAAUCCGGCUAAUUUUGCCCGGAAGUUAAUCCUGCUAUUUGGUAUGGGCCCAAAUAGCCACUUUGAACGGUUACACCUGGGAUUAACUACACAAAUGUUCCUUUUUUACGAUAUAUGGUAUGCUUUAUGACUGGGUGUGUAUGAGGAGCUUUGAUGUUUGCUCCCCUGUUUUUGCAUUCUUCUUUGCAUGAUUAGUAAGCUAGCCUGCAAGGUCCUCUAUGCUUAGAUGUUUCAUAAGAAUUAUCCUCUGAAGCUCUGUAAUGAAAUAUUCUGGAGAUGUAUUGCCAACAGUUAGCGUAUGUAAUGAAUACAUUUAUGAUCUGCUCAGCCCUUUGUAUUUUCAAACAGAACAUUACUAGAGAAUUUUAUGUUCGAAUGUGUGAGCUUUAUGUUUGCUCUCUUAUCAGUAAAUUGUUCUUAUUUUAAUGUUAUUGUGUCAUUAAAAUGUCUACUGACUCAUGUUCAGUAGAGAGUCGAAGACAAUGAUGGUACAGAAGGACAACACAGUUUUUGACAUAAAAACUCUUGUCCCGGGUCUUAUAUUUAUUCUUUUCUUUGGCACAUGGAAGAUACGUCCUGUGAGUAAAUUAUGGCAUGGAACAUUGACUUGAUUGUCCCACUGAAAGCAUGAAUGCUUUAUAUUAAAGCAAAGGCAGUAAGCUUGAUUGAAAUGUUGUCUUGGUGGCUAUAGUCAGAGCUUAUACUAAUGACUACUAUCUACGUUUCUUGUUAUGAAUGCACUUGUAAUUUACAAUGGCUACUACAUCUCAUUUCCUGUACUAACAUUUGAUUUUCCUUGAUUGCUGCAAGCCUGGGAGCAUACGAGGAGGUUGCCUGAUGCAUGAGUCAGGUUUAGAAGCCUGUGAGCGAAGGAUACUGAUGUCUCCAUUGAGAGCUUUCCAUGCUCUCAUACAUGAAUUUGGACCUUCACUUCCAAUGUUGCUGCCGUGUGACGUUUAGAAAGGAAGGAUCUGGGUUGAUCCUUUCACUUUGUGUAUGCAUGUAAUCUGCUCUGAACAGCCUCGCCGACUGGUCUAUGCGCCCAUUUCUGCUUUAGAGUUGCUUUAGAGGGCCUGGAGUUGUAAUAUUAUUUCUGUUUGGUUGAACUCUUGAUGGAGGGGUAGGCUUGUCUGUAUGAAGUCGCGUUAGUGCCGUAUGCACCUUUUUUUUUGUGAAUCUGGUUCUGUCUGAUCUAUAUGUCCAAAAAAGAAUCAAGGUCAUUCUGAAA